RNAcentral lists this ribosomal RNA (86 nucleotides) under Klebsiella pneumoniae. Lineage: Bacteria; Pseudomonadati; Pseudomonadota; Gammaproteobacteria; Enterobacterales; Enterobacteriaceae. The record is from RNAcentral.
UGGCGGCACUAGCGCGGUGGUCCCACCUGACCCCAUGCCGAACUCAGAAGUGAAACGCCGUAGCGCCGAUGGUAGUGUGGGGUCUC